GACGAACGCUGGCGGCGUGCUUAACACAUGCAAGUCGAGCGGUAAGGCCCUUUCGGGGGUACGACGAGCGGCGAACGGGUGAGUAACACGUGGGUGACCUGCCCUCAGCUCUGGGAUAAGCCUGGGAAACCGGGUCUAAUACUGGAUAUGACUCCAUGACGCAUGUUGUGGGGUGGAAAGCCUUGUGCGGCUGAGGAUGGGCCCGCGGCCUAUCAGCUUGUUGGUGGGGUGANGGCCUACCAAGGCGACGACGGGUAGCCGGCCUGAGAGGGCGACCGGCCACACUGGGACUGAGACACGGCCCAGACUCCUACGGGAGGCAGCAGUGGGGAAUCUUGCGCAAUGGGCGAAAGCCUGACGCAGCGACG
This 368-nucleotide ribosomal RNA is filed under the name uncultured bacterium. RNAcentral describes it as "bacterial SSU rRNA". It matches the Rfam family "Bacterial small subunit ribosomal RNA", at positions 28 to 396 of the family's 1533-position model. The record is from RNAcentral.